CCUACGGGAGGCAGCAGUGAGGAAUAUUGGUCAAUGGGCUUACGCCUGAACCAGCCAAGUCGCGUGAGGGAUGAAGGCCCUGCGGGUCGUAAACCUCUUUUGUCGGGGAGCAGAUGGCGCUACGUGUAGCGUCAGCGAGAGUACCCGAAGAAAAAGCAUCGGCAAACUCCGUGCCAGCAGCCGCGGUAAUACGGAGGAUGCGAGCGUUAUCCGGAUUUAUUGGGUUUAAAGGGUGCGUAGGCGGGCAUUUAAGCCGGCGGUAAAAUGUCGGGGCUCAACCCCGGCGUGCCGUCGAAACUGGGGGGCUGGAGUGGGAGAGAAGUACGCGGAAUGCGCGGUGUAGCGGUGAAAUGCAUAGAGAUCACGCAGAACUCCGAUUGCGAAGGCAGCCUACCGGCGCUCAACUGACGCUGAUGCACGAAAGCGUGGGUAUCGAACAGGAUUAGAUACCCGUGUAGUC
RNAcentral lists this ribosomal RNA (460 nucleotides) under uncultured bacterium. Its description in RNAcentral is "partial 16S ribosomal RNA". It matches the Rfam family "Bacterial small subunit ribosomal RNA", at positions 338 to 795 of the family's 1533-position model. The record is from RNAcentral.